This 492-nucleotide ribosomal RNA is filed under the name uncultured bacterium. RNAcentral describes it as "partial 16S ribosomal RNA". It matches the Rfam family "Bacterial small subunit ribosomal RNA", at positions 29 to 507 of the family's 1533-position model. The record is from RNAcentral.
AGUGAACGCUGGCGGUAGGCCUAACACAUGCAAGUCGAACGGCAGCACAGUAAGAGCUUGCUCUUACGGGUGGCGAGUGGCGGACGGGUGAGGAAUACAUCGGAAUCUACUUUUUCGGGGGGGAUAACGUAGGGAAACUUACGCUAAUACCGCAUACGACCUACGGGUGAAAGCAGGGGAUCUUCGGACCUUGCGCGAUUGAAUGAGCCGAUGUGGGAUUAGCUAGUUGGCGGGGUAAAGGCCCACCAAGGCGACGAUCCGUAGCUGGUCUGAGAGGAUGAUAGGCCACACUGGAAGUGAGACACGGUCCAGACUCCUACGGGAGGCAGCAGUGGGGAAUAUUGGACAAUGGGCGCAAGCCUGAUCCAGCCAUACCGCGUGGGUGAAGAAGGCCUUCGGGUUGUAAAGCCCUUUUGUUGGGAAAGAAAAGCAGCAGGUUAAUACCCAGCUGUUCUGACGGUACCCAAAGAAUAAGCACCGGCUAACUUCGUG